Molecule: long non-coding RNA, 1399 nt
Organism: Cavia porcellus (domestic guinea pig)
Lineage: Eukaryota; Metazoa; Chordata; Mammalia; Rodentia; Caviidae
Exons: 3
Source: RefSeq, a predicted model, not a curated record
CUUUUAUUCAAGCCUCUUAGAGAUUUCCUGUUUGGAUAUUUGCUACUUGGCUACUUCAAAAGGAUAGAAAAGGGCUGGGAGAAUAAAAGUUGUGGAGCACUUAUGUAGGGUUCACUCCAUACCAUGAGAAAAAAGAAGGAAGAAAAAGAAGGAGAAGAAGAAGAAGAGGAAGAAGAAGAAGAAAGAAGAGGGCAAAAUCUUAUGCCACACAACCUAGGCUGGUCAGUGGUGUACUCUCAAAAUGUAUUGCAGUGCCAUGCCACCCUGCCUUGGAGUCAGCUGAUCAUGGACUGAAACCUCUAAAAAGUUCAAGUAAAUAUUCUUCAGACUCUCCAGGAAACUCAAUAUCCAAGGAAGAACGUUUGAGGCAGAAGCAGAUGAUGAGUGGAUAGUCAGGUCUGGAAGAUGCUCAUAUCAUUCUCAGUUAUAAGGCUACAGUCACAAUGCAAUUGGAAACCAAGAACUCAGCUGAGGUUAAUUAACUCUGAAGAGCCUUUGAAAUCUGUCACUAUCAGCAUCCAUCUACUUUUCAUCUGAGAUAUUAUCUCAGAUGAUAUUAUGAAGAUGAAAAUUGAAAAAGCAUGAUUCAGACGGAGCUGCAUUCAAAUGAUGCUAACAGGCACUUGGCCAUGUUAAUGUUUCCAGGUCUGUUUCCUUGCCUACUAAACUGGAUAUCUAAGAAGUAAGAUACCAUAUUCUAAGCACUUUCAUUAGACUAUAGGUACCUUGAAAGCAGGGACUAUUUCCUCUCAUCUUCAUUUAUCCAAUAUUAACAGUACUAGGCCUAUACUAUUCUGUAGUUACUCAGAACAGGUGAAUUUCCUCUUCAUGGUGAUUCAAGAUACACUCCAGGCACCAUUAUUUUUAUACUGUUAGGCUGAUUAGGAGUUUUUCUUCUUCGUGGGUCUCAAACUUUCCCUUCAAUAAAAUAGAAGCCUGGAUAAGAUCUCCAAGAUCUUUUACAGCUCUAAUAUUUCAUGGACCUGUGCCCAUUCAGUACACUCUACUCACCGCUGCUCCUAGAAACUAAUAAUGCUACAAAGAAGACAAUAACAAGUCACAAAUCACUAUUUACAGAUACACCUACAUUUAAAACAUUCUAUAAUAUAGCUACAAUACUCAGGCCUACUUUUCCUUUUAAAAGGUCAAACUUAUUUUUUUAAUCUUUAUUUGGAUUAUUCAGGGAAAUGAAAUCUGGGACAAGUUGCACUAACAUGCAUUAUACAGCUUGAACCUGGGUGGCUAAUUGCACAAUUACCGUGAUUGAUAAAUGCUGCACUGCAAUCAGCUGGAAGCUGCUGCCUUCUUCUCAAUGAGGUCACAGAGGAGGGCUGGGGUAUUGCCAUCUAACAAGCAGGUCUGUUUGUUGGAUGAACAUUAAAAGAUUUUGCCAUUAUAA